GCCACCACGGAGGACAGGCAGAGGUGCCUGCCAGGGCAGGGAGAGGCCUGGGCCCCAUCAGUUUGUUGGAUCUGAGGCUGCUGGCCACUGGGGUCAGGCCUGGGGCACAGGGGGCGGUGCCUGGGAGCAGCUCCCUAAGAAGACAGUUCUGGCCCAGGAGCACUGGCCCUGACCACAGGCAACACAGUGGCCAGGUUGUUUUGUCUUUCAUGGGGUCUUCCCUGGGAAUUCCCAGAAUGAAGCCAAGAAUGCCACACAAAGAUCCAUGGGAAUCAGCCAGGCCCCAACAGAGCUCUGCCGAUCAAGCAGCAGAUACCUUCUCUCUCAGCCAGACUUCCUCUUGCCUCUAAUCUGGUGUCCCUGGGAUGAGCGGGCACUUUGUAAAAUCCCACAGCCUCACAGGAGCAGUACCCGCCUGGUCAGUGAGCAGUUGAGGGUGGAUGUACAAGUCGGUGGGCAGCCACAGCGGUGGGCAGGGCCUUAGAGGGAGCCCACUGCCCAGCCAGUGACUCAGCUGAGGAGGAAUGGAAGCGGCUGCCCAGGAGGGGUGGGGGCCAGGCAGGCCACCCAGCCAAGCCACCGGAGCCUCAGCCUGUCCAGUGGAAAGAAUAGCAGAAGGCGGGCAGCGGUCUGCAUAGGGGCGACGCCAAGGAGGAUCUUGCGCACGUUCUCCGCACCGGUCACGCGGAUUAGCGGCCGCCCCAGCAAGUGUGUCUUGAAAACAUUGCCGUACUUCUCCCGGCGCGACGACUGGAAGCCAGAACCCUGCAGGAAUACACCAGAAGCCUCUCAGGGCUCACAGAGGACCUUGCAUCCAGCCCCACCCUAGGCACCCUUCCUUGGGUUCCUGUCAUUCUCUCUCUCUCUCUCUCUCUCUCUCUCUCUCUCUCUCUCUCUCUCUCUCUCUCUCUCUCUCUCUCUCUCUCUCUCUCUCUCUCUCUCUCUCUCUCUCUCUCUCUCGGGUUUUAUUUUUCACGGCGUGCAUUAGGACUGGGAAGUGGGGCCUGGAGGAUAAUAAAUAAUGUGGGAGCACGAAGAUGCAGGGGCACCCACGGAAGGCUGCUUUUAGUAAUGGCUUUGCGGCAGCGCGGGGGGGGGGGCUAUCCCCGACGGCUGGACCUGAAGUUGGAGCCUGAUCCCCUACCCCUGCGCGGCGGAGCCUCUCGGAAUAAAUAUUUCCAGGCUCCAGGCCACGGGCUGGCGAGACCCCGCGGGGUGGCCGCAGGCCAAAGAUUAUUUAUAGCGGCGAGUUGUGCGUGCCCGGAGGCUGUCCCCAGAGAUGGGGGUUGGAGUUUCCUCUCUGCUCCGGUGUGGCCCUCCGUGGGCUCCGCAGGGUGGAGUCUUGGGCCCAGAGCCACGACUCUCCUGAAACAUUUGUCCAGGGAAUAACUGGGACGAACUUUCGUCACCGCCCUGAAAUUCGGAACUGGAGCACCAGGAAGGUGCUUAUGAACGGCGGUGGGAUGGGGCGCGGUGACCCGCGCAGGUAACCGGAUCUCGGGGGCCCCUGGGCGAGCCCUGUGCUCCACAGUUAGCGGCCUGUGGUGCCGGAAACCUUCAUCGCAUUCGCCACCCAGUCUGCCUUAACCCUUCUCCCGCCAGGGUGCACCGAGUGCAAAGUGGCGGAGAGCCACCUGUCCGCCCCUCCGGACUGCAGAACUGUGGCCGGGCUCCCGCCUUCGCGUCGUGGUCUCCCAAGGACACGUCUGCUCCCUCCACCGAGAGAUAGAAAGCUCCCCUUUCCUAGGUUGACACCACCCCCUUUACUUUCCUUUCUCCCAGGGAAACUAUACUCCAGUUAGAAGUGAACACGCCCCAGAUGCGAAAAGUGACUACAGAACCCAGAUUCUUAAUGGCUUUUCCACAUGCUUCUGGGCCCGGCGCGCGACAGGGAGCGAGGCGGGAUCCCCCGCGCCACCUGGAGGAGCCGAGUCGGGGACGCCCCCAUCCAGACGCCGUUUUAGACGGCGCCGGCUCCUUUAAGAGAAGUCGGGCGGAGGUGGGGUGCGGCAGAGGGGGGCUCAGAGCGGGGAUCCCGUCCUCGUCUGCCGCGCAGUCUCCCUCGGUCGGUCUCACUCCGUCUCUCCUCUCCCGUCUUUGCCUCUGUUUUUCUUUUCUUUCGACACAAAAGUUGGGUUGUGAAUUUUCCGAGGUCGCCGCCGCCUCGCCCCUCGCCCCCGCCUCUGAUCUGCCUAACUAUAAUUAAAGUGCGUUUUUUGUGGCUUUAA
Mesocricetus auratus (golden hamster) is the source of this 2228-nucleotide long non-coding RNA. RefSeq lists it as uncharacterized. The record is from RefSeq and is a predicted model, not a curated record. The transcript is spliced from 3 exons. NCBI's taxonomy places the organism in Eukaryota, Metazoa, Chordata, Mammalia, Rodentia, Cricetidae.